CACCGGCAUCUGAUGAAGCUGCCAGCAUGAUCUAAUUAUCUUUCUUUCUCCGUUGACGAUGGAAAAGACAUGAGUGUUGAUUAGAUCAUGUUCGCAGUUUCACCCGUUGACUGU
This 114-nucleotide microRNA precursor is filed under the name Brassica napus (rape). Its description in RNAcentral is "brassica napus miR167b stem-loop". It matches the Rfam family "MIR167 microRNA precursor family". The record is from RNAcentral. Lineage: Eukaryota; Viridiplantae; Streptophyta; Magnoliopsida; Brassicales; Brassicaceae.